RNAcentral lists this transfer RNA (27 nucleotides) under Anemone blanda. RNAcentral's name for it is "partial tRNA-Phe". The record is from RNAcentral. Lineage: Eukaryota; Viridiplantae; Streptophyta; Magnoliopsida; Ranunculales; Ranunculaceae. RNAcentral also lists the same sequence under 17 other names.
GUCGGGAUAGCUCAGUUGGUAGAGCAG